UACGUAGGCAGCAAGCGUUGUUCGGAAUUACUGGGCGUAAAGAGUGUGUAGGCGGUGCUCUAAGUUUGGUGUGAAAUCUCCCGGCUCAACUGGGAGGGUGCGCCGAAAACUGGAAUGCUUGAACGUGGGAGAGGAAAGCGGAAUUCCUGGUGUAGCGGUGAAAUGCGUAGAUAUCAGGAGGAACACCUGCGGUGUAGACGGCUCUCUGGGACGGUACUGACGCUGAGACGCGAAAGCGUGGGGAGCGAACAGG
RNAcentral lists this ribosomal RNA (253 nucleotides) under uncultured bacterium. Its description in RNAcentral is "partial 16S ribosomal RNA". It matches the Rfam family "Bacterial small subunit ribosomal RNA", at positions 524 to 776 of the family's 1533-position model. The record is from RNAcentral.